UCAUCUCGUGCCAUUCUAAAUAGAAGCACUACUGAUGGCCCAAAACAAGAUGAUUGUGGUGGUUCUCCUCCUUGCCACCUUUCUUGUGGUGGCAAGAUCGUUGUGGGUUCCAGAAGAACCCUCAAAUGCGGAUGACAUAAGAGGUGCUUGCAUCGAGGAGUGCACCAAAGAAAAUAAGGCUCCUGGCGACAAGAAGACAUGCGAAGUGUUGUGCACCAAGCUCACAAAAAAGCCUAGCGAAGAAGGCAAACAUGAUUGAUGAAGUAGCACUCCGAUAAUAUAUACCCUAGUGGAUCAGUGGUCAUCUUUGUAGCCAUGUCUGCCACACGAUGGCCUUGACUAUAUUGUCUUAUUGUUUUGUUUUUGGUUUCCACUAGUAUCCUAAUUCCUUGUUCAUAUAACCUAAUUUCACUCAAAGCAUUUUAUAUGCUUCACUUAAUUAAAUAAAUACAAAGGCAAUGGCAUGUUCUGUUUUGAUCUAAUUGGAAUAUCAUAGGGCAAACCGAUCUAUAAAAAGAAUGGUAAUGAAUCUUAUAUAUAGAUAUGUUCAAUGUGCAAGUAUGAUCAAAUACUGAAAAAGUUGAUACGAAUAAUAGUUGUUGUUGAGCCUCUCACAACAUUUUGAGUAAAUCUCUUGAAAAGCAAAACGUGAACGAUAUGGUAGAACCCCACCAUUAUAUAUCAUGGUGCAUCAAUGGUCUUUAUGUAGCCAUGUCUAUCACAAAAUGGCCUUGAUUAAAUUAUCUUAUUGUUUGUGUUUUGGUUCCACAAGUAUCCUAACUUCUUAUUCAUGUACCCUAAUGUCACUCAAUGCAUUUUCUAUGACUUACUUAACUAAAUAAAUACGAAGGCAAUGGCCUGAUUUUUAUGAUCUAAUUGAAAUAUCGUAGGUUGGUAUACAUCCCAAAAUUUCUAAUUUUAUGUUGCAAAUAUAAAACAAUAAAAAAACAAUUUUAAUCUUUGUAUACAACUUUUCAAGAUUAGAUUAUAGGUGCACAUGUUUAGGUAUAAUAAACUAUUUUUUUGUUUCAAACGAUAAUAACAUGUAAAAACAUGAUAAUAGCAUGAAAACUGCGAAUGAUGCAUUAUGUCCAUCAUAGUAGCCUCUCCGUAGCUCCGUGUUUUUCCAAUGUUAAUGAUCAUCCACACGCUCACUUAUAUGUUGUUGUAAUCCACCUUGAUGAGCAAUGUGAUACUGUCACACUCGGAUUUAAGGACAAAUCCAAAUGCAUCUCAAAUGUGUGCUAGGAUCAAGUAUCAUACAUAUGAUGACUAAUGGUUCAGAAAUCAAUGUCACAUCUUUAUUAUAUAAUAGAAGUUCUAUACAAAAUAACUAUAUAAAUACAUCAUAAGACGACGACGAUCUUCCACAACUAUAGCUGACUAGGAGACGACGACCUAGACCUCUCCGAACUCAUCUUAGCAUCCUUCAUGCUCCUCAUCUUGCGGUAUAUGUUCUUGACCUGGUGUGAUUAUAGCAAGGGUGAGCUCCCAUAUGGUCAUUACACAACAAGUGUGGGGAAAAGUAUAGUGUAAGGCUUACCAAGGAAAAUGGUUAAGGAUGAGCAUUGCUUUUAAUUUUGUUGGUCCAAAUUUUAUUAGCAAUUACUAAGUAUAAGUGAAUACCAACCUAAUUAAAUAAUUGAUCAGAAAUAAAUACCCACAAUGUAUGGCGUUGUAUUUUGAGAAGAUCAUGGAGAUAUGAUUACCUUCUUGCACUACUAGUAUAUCAAAUUGCAGAUGUAUGUAUAUUAUUUUUGUAUCUAGAUCUUUCCAUGUGAAGGGCAAGCCUAGUGCGUUGGUGACAGCUGUCCCACUUAGUCGCCAAGUUGUAACUUAUUGACCAUUUCCUUAUUUAAUAUUAUGGUCUUAGAUUUAUUUGUUCUUAAGUUGUAUUUGUUUCAAGCCUUGAACUAGUCACAUCCAUUGUAACCUCAAGUUUAUAACACCGUUAAUUUACAAGACAUAUGGAUAAUAUUAUGCAAGUUGUUGCUUCUCCAGCAAGUCUGAUGCGUGUGGCUUUGGCAUGUUGCUGAUUUAGUUUCCAUAUUUAGCAAUUUAGGGACUAAAGUGGAAUAAAAUGGACGGACUAAAAAUUAGUCCCUAGAAACCAAACACCCCCUAAGUUAUCUGGUUUAUCAUGAAUGUAGCGCCAAAAACUACUAAACUUCAUUUUUUUUAUCUAAGUGAGGGGCAGCACAUGUCAGCGUCAACCGGUAAUCACUGUCUAUUUCAAGGUGGCUCGAUGGUAGAUCAUCCACCAAUGAAUAAUGUUAGCUAACGACAACACUAGGAGAGUGGAGGUGACCAAUUUUGGGUUGCCCGGUGACUCUGCUAACUCGGGCAGGUACUGACUGGUCUCAUUACUCGCAUGUCUGGACGAUAUCCGAUGACUCUAGCUAAAAAUAUACAAACGUUUGCAUGUCUUCCACACGACACUUAAAUCUCUGGUCUCCCGGCAAAAAUGAAGAUCAAACUAGCAAUUAGAAAUUGUACGUUCACAACAAUUAACAUCACCCGUAGCCCGUGAAGUUCUCUUCUCCCCAUAGUUUAUUUACUUGUCUUCUAUAUAAAGGGCUAUAAAAAGUUGAGCAAAGUCAUCCCGUGCCAUUCUAACUAGAAGCAAUACUGAUGGCCCAAAACAAGAUGAUUGUGAUGGUUCUCCUCCUUUCCACCUUUCUUGUGGUGGCAAGAUCGUUGUGGGUUCCAGAAGAACCCUCAAAUGCGGAUGACAUAAGAGGUGCUUGCAUCGAGGAGUGCACCAAAGAAAAUAAGGCUCCUGGCGACAAGAAGACAUGCGAAGUGUUGUGCACCAAGCUCACAAAAAAGCCUAGCGAAGAAGGCAAACAUGAUUGAUGAAGUAGAACUCCGAUAAUAUAUACACUAGUGGAUCAGUGGUCAUCUUUGUAGCCAUGUCUACCACACGAUGGCCUUGAUUAUAUUGUCUUAUUGUUUUGUUUUUGGUUUCCAAUAGUAUCCUAAUUCCUUGUUCAUGUAACCUAAUGUCACUCAAAGCAUUUUAUAUGCCUCACUUAAUUAAAUAAAUACAAAGGCAAAGGCAUGUUAUGUUUUGAUCUAAUUGGAAUAUCAUAGGUCAAACCGAUCUAUAAAAAGAAUGGCAAAGAAUCUUAUAUAUAGAUAUGUUCAAUGUGCAAAUAUGAUCAAAUACUGAAAAAGUUGAUACCAAUAUUAGUUGUUGUUGAGUUUCUCACAACAUUUUGAGUAAAUCUCUUGAAAAGCAAAACGUGAACGAUAUGGUAGAACCCCACCGUAAUAUAUCGUGGUGUAUCAAUGGUCUUUAUGUAGCCAUGUCUAUCACAAAAUGGCCUUGAUUAAAUUAUCUUAUUGUUUGUGUUUUGGUUCCACAAGUAUCCUAACUUCUUAUUCAUGUACCCUAAUGUCACUCAAUGCAUUUUCUAUGACUUACUUAACUAAAUAAAUACGAAGGCAAUGGCCUAAUUUUUACGAUAUAAUUGAAAUAUCAUAGGUUGGUAUACAUCCCAAAAUUUCUAAUUUUAUGUUGCAAAUAUAAAACAAUAAAAACAAUUUUAAUCUUUUUAUACAACUUUUCAAGAUUAGAUUAUAGGUGCACAUGUUUAGGUAUAAUAAACUAUUUUUUUGUUUCAAACGAUAAUAACAUGUAAAAACGUGAUAAUAGUACGAAAACUGCGAAUGGUGCAUUUUGACCAUCAUAGUAGCCUCUCUGUAGCUCUGUGUUUUUCCAAUGUUAAUGAUCAUGCACACACCCACUUAUAUGUUGGUUGUUAUCCACCUAGAUGAGCAAUGUGAUACUGUCACACUCGGAUUUAAGGACAAAUCCAGAUGCAUCUCAAAUGUGUGCUAGGAUCAAGUACCAUACAUAUGAUGACUCAUGGUACAUAAAUCAAUGUCACAUCUUUAUUAUAUAAUAGAAGUUCUAUACAAAAUAACUAUAUAAAUACAUCAUAAGAUGACUAAGAUCUUCCACAACUAUAGCUGAUUGGGAGACGAUGACCUGGACCCCUCCGAACUCAUCUUAGCAUCUUUCGGGCUCCUCAUCUUGUGGUACCUGUUCUUGACCUGGUGUGAUUAUAGCAAGGGUGAGCUCCAUAUGGUCAUCACAUAGCAAGUGUGGGGAAAAGUAUAGUGUAAGGCUUACCAAAGAAAAUGGUUAAGGAUGAGCAUUGCUUUUAAUUUUGUUGGUCCAAAUUUUAUUAGCAAUUACUAAGUAUAAGUGAAUACCAACCCAAUUAAAUAAUUGAUAAGAAAUAAAUACCCACAAUGCAUGGAGUUGUAUUUUGAGAAAACCAAGGAGAUAUGAUUACCUUCUUGCACUACUAGUAUAUCAAAUUGCAGAUGUAUGUAUAUUAUUUUUGUAUCUAGAUCUUUCCAUGUGAAGGGCAAGCCUAGUGCGUUGGUGACAGCUGUCCCACUUAGUCGCCAAGUUGUAAGUUAUUGACCAUUUCCUUAUUUAAUAUUAUGAUCUUAGAUUUAUUUGUUCUUAAACUGUAUUUGUUUCAAGCCUUGAACUGGUCACAUCCAUUGUAACCUCAAGUUUAUAACACCGUUAAUUUACAAGACAUAUGGAUAAUAUUAUGCAAGUUGUUGCUUCUCCAGCAAGUCUGAUGCGUGUGGCUUUGGCAUGUUGCUGAUUUAGUUUCCAUAUUUAGCAAUUUAGGGACUAAAGUGGAAUAAAAUGGACGGACUAAAAAUUAGUCCCUAGAAACCAAACACCCCCUAAGUUAUCUGGUUUAUCAUGAAUGUAGCGCCAAAAACUACUAAACUUCAUUUUUUAUCUAAGUGAGGGGCAGCACAUGUCAGCGUCAACCGGUAAUCACUGUCUAUUUCAAGGUGGCUCGAUGGUAGAUCAUCCACCAAUGAAUAAUGUUAGCUAGCGACAACACUAGGAGAGUGGAGGUGACCAAUUUUGGGUUGCCCGGUGACUCUGCUAACUCGGGCAGGUACUGACUGGUCUCAUUACUCGCAUGUCUGGACGAUAUCCGAUGACUCUAGCUAAAAAUAUACAAAUGUUUGCAUGUCUGCCACACGACACUUAAAUCUCUGGUCUCCCGGCAAAAAAUGAAGAUCAAACUAGCAAUUAGAAAUUGUACGUUCACAACAAUUAACAUCACCCGUAGCCCGUGAAGUUCUCUUCUCCCCAUAGUUUAUUUACUUGUCUUCUAUAUAAAGGGCUAUAAAAAGUUGAGCAAAGUCAUCCCGUGCCAUUCUAACUAGAAGCAAUACUGAUGGCCCAAAACAAGAUGAUUGUGAUGGUUCUCCUCCUUUCCACCUUUCUUGUGGUGGCAAGAUCGUUGUGGGUUCCAGAAGAACCCUCAAAUGCGGAUGACAUAAGAGGUGCUUGCAUCGAGGAGUGCACCAAAGAAAAUAAGGCUCCUGGCGACAAGAAGACAUGCGAAGUGUUGUGCACCAAGCUCACAAAAAAGCCUAGCGAAGAAGGCAAACAUGAUUGAUGAAGUAGAACUCCGAUAAUAUAUACACUAGUGGAUCAGUGGUCAUCUUUGUAGCCAUGUCUACCACACGAUGGCCUUGAUUAUAUUGUCUUAUUGUUUUGUUUUUGGUUUCCAAUAGUAUCCUAAUUCCUUGUUCAUGUAACCUAAUGUCACUCAAAGCAUUUUAUAUGCCUCACUUAAUUAAAUAAAUACAAAGGCAAAGGCAUGUUCUGUUUUGAUCUAAUUGGAAUAUCAUAGGUCAAACCGAUCUAUAAAAAGAAUGGCAAAGAAUCUUAUAUAUAGAUAUGUUCAAUGUGCAAAUAUGAUCAAAUACUGAAAAAGUUGAUACCAAUAUUAGUUAUUGUUGAGUUUCUCACAACAUUUUGAGUAAAUCUCUUGAAAAGCAAAACGUGAACGAUAUGGUAGAACCCCACCGUUAUAUAUCGUGGUGUAUCAAUGGUCUUUAUGUAGCCAUGUCUAUCACAAAAUGGCCUUGAUUAAAUUAUCUUAUUGUUUUUGUUUUGGUUCCACAAGUAUCCUAACUUCUUAUUCAUGUACCCUAAUGUCACUCAUUGCAUUUUCUAUGACUUACUUAACUAAAUAAAUACGAAGGCAAUGGCCUAAUUUUUACGAUAUAAUUGAAAUAUCAUAGGUUGGUAUACAUCCCAAAAUUUCUAAUUUUGUGUUGCAAAUAUAAAACAAUAAAAACAAUUUUAAUCUUUUUAUACAACUUUUCAAGAUUAGAUUAUAGGUGCACAUGUUUAGGUAUAAUAAACUAUUUUUUUUUGUUUCAAACGAUAAUAACAUGUAAAAACGUGAUAAUAGCACGAAAACUGCGAACAGUGCAUUAUGUCCAUCAUAGUAGCCUCUCUGUAGCUCCGUGUUUUUCCAAUGUUAAUGAUCAUGCACAUGCCCACUUAUAUGUUGGUUGUAAUCCACCUAUAUGAGCAUUGUGAUACUGUCACACUCGGAUUUAAGGACAAAUUCAGAUGCAUCUCAAAUGUGUGCUUGGAUCAAGUAUCAUACAUAUGAUGACUAAUAGUACAGAAAUCAAUGUCACAUCUUUAUUAUAUAAUAGAAGUUCUAUACAAAAUAACUAUAUAAAUACAUCAUAAGACGACUACGAUCUUCCACAACUAUAGUUGACUGGGAGACGAUAACCUAGACCCCUCUGAACUCAUCUUAGCAUCCUUCAUGCUCUUCAGUUUGCGAUACCUGUUCUUGACCUGGUGUGGUUAUAGCAAGGGUGAGCUCCCAUAUGGUCAUCACACAACAAGUGUGGGGAAAAGUAUAAUGUAAGGCUUACCAAGGAAAAUGGUUAAGGAUGAGCAUUGCUUUUAAUUUUGUAGGUCCAAAUUUUAUUAGCAAUUUCAAAUAUAAGUGAAUACCAACCCAAUUAAAUAAUUGAUCAGAAAUAAAUACCCACAAUGCAUGGAGUUGUAUUUUGAGAAAAUCAUGGAGAUAUGAUUACCUUCUUGCACUACUAGUAUAUCAAAUUGCAGAUGUAUGUAUAUUAUUUUUGUAUCGAGAUCUUUCCAUGUGAAGGGCAAGCCUAGUGCGUUGGUGACAGCUGUCCCACUUAGUCGCCAAGUUGUAAUUUAUUGACCAUUUCCAUAUUUAAUAUUAUGGUCUUAGAUUUAUUUGUUCUUAAACUGUAUUUGUUUCAAGCCUUGAACUGGUCACAUCCAUUGUAACCUCAAGUUCAUAACACAAUUAAUUUACAAGACAUAUGGAUAAUAUUAUGCAAGUUGUUGCUUCUCCAUCAAGUCUGAUUCGUGUGGCUUUGGCAUGUUGCUGAUUUAGUUUCCAUAUUUAGCAAUUUAGGGACUAAAGUGGAAUAAAAUGGAGGGACUAAAAAUUAGUCUCUAGGAUCCAAACACCCCAUAAGUUAUCUGGUUUAUCAUGAAUGUAGCGCCAAAAAGUACUAAACUUCAUUUUUAUUUUUAUCUAGGUGAGGGGCAGCGCAUGUCAGCAUCAACAGGUAAUCGCUGUCUAUUUCAAGGUGGUUUGAUGGUAGAUCAUCCACCAAUGAAUAAUGUUAGCUAGCGGCAACUCUAGGAGAACGGAGGUGACCAAUUUUGGGUUGCCCGGUGACUCUGCUACCUCAGGCAGGUACUGACUGGUCUCAUUACUCGCAUGUCUGGACGAUAUCCGAUGACUCUAGCUAAAAAUAUACAAAUGUUUGCAUGUGUGCCACACGACACUCAAAUCUCUGGUCUCCCGGCAAAAACGAAGAUCAAACUAGCAAUUAGAAAUUGUACGUUCACAACAAUUAACAUCACCCGUAGCCCGUGAAGUUCUCUUCUCCCCAUAGUUUAUUUACUUUUCUUCUAUGUAAAGGGCUAAUGAAAAGUUGAGCAAAGUCAUCCCAUGACAUUCUAAAUAGAAGCACUACUGAUGGCCCAAAACAAGAUGAUUGUGGUGGUUCUCCUCCUUGCCACCUUUCUUGUGGUGGCAAGAUCGUUGUGGGUUCCAGAAGAACCCUCAAAUGCGGAUGACAUAAGAGGUGCUUGCAUCGAGGAGUGCACCAAAGAAAAUAAGGCUCCUGGCGACAAGAAGACAUGCGAAGUGUUGUGCACCAAGCUCACAAAAAAGCCUAGCGAAGAAGGCAAACAUGAUUGAUGAAGUAGCACUCCGAUAAUAUAUACCCUAGUGGAUGAGUGGUCAUCUUUGUAGCCAUGUCUGCCACACGAUGGCCUUGAUUAUAUUGUCUUAUUGUUUUGUUUUUGGUUUCCACUAGUAUCCUAAUUCCUUGUUCAUGUAACCUAAUGUCACUCAAAGCAUUUUAUAUGCUUCACUUAAUUAAAUAAAUACAAAGGCAAAGGCAUGUUCUGUUUUGGUC
This 8271-nucleotide long non-coding RNA is filed under the name Zea mays. RNAcentral describes it as "long non-coding RNA (ZMAY_LNC001351)". The record is from RNAcentral. Lineage: Eukaryota; Viridiplantae; Streptophyta; Magnoliopsida; Poales; Poaceae.